GCUUAGAGAGGGGUCAAUGUCCUAUCAGCUAGUUGGUAAGGUAAUGGCUUACCAAGGCUAAGACGGGUAGCCGGCCUGAGAGGGUGGUCGGCCACACUGGGACUGAGACACUGCCCAGACUCCUACGGGAGGCUGCAGUCGAGAAUCUUUCGCAAUGCCCGAAAGGGUGACGAAGCGACGCCGCGUGCGGGAAGAAGGCCUUCGGGUUGUAAACCACUGUCGGGAGUUAAGAAAUGUAAGGGUGUUAAUAGCAUCCUUACUUGACUAAGGCUCCGGAGGAAGCCACGGCUAACUCUGUGCCAGCAGCCGCGGUAAUACAGAGGCGGCAAGCGUUGUUCGGAAUUAUUGGGCGUAAAGAGCACGUAGGCGGCUUUGUAAGUCAGUUGUGAAAGCCUUCCGCUUAACGGAAGAACAGCAUCUGAUACUGCAAGGCUAGAGUGCGGAAGGG
Molecule: ribosomal RNA, 448 nt
Filed under: uncultured Planctomycetota bacterium
Lineage: Bacteria; Pseudomonadati; Planctomycetota
Description: bacterial SSU rRNA
Rfam family: Bacterial small subunit ribosomal RNA
Source: RNAcentral